RNAcentral lists this ribosomal RNA (282 nucleotides) under uncultured Staphylococcus sp. RNAcentral's name for it is "partial 16S ribosomal RNA". It matches the Rfam family "Bacterial small subunit ribosomal RNA", at positions 505 to 785 of the family's 1533-position model. Lineage: Bacteria; Bacillati; Bacillota; Bacilli; Caryophanales; Staphylococcaceae. The record is from RNAcentral.
GUGCCAGCAGCCGCGGUAAUACGUAGGUGGCAAGCGUUAUCCGGAAUUAUUGGGCGUAAAGCGCGCGUAGGCAGUUUUUUAAGUCUGAUGUGAAAGCCCACGGCUCAACCGUGGAGGGUCAUUGGAAACUGGAAAACUUGAGUGCAGAAGAGGAAAGUGGAAUUCCAUGUGUAGCGGUGAAAUGCGCAGAGAUAUGGAGGAACACCAGUGGCGAAGGCGACUUUCUNGGUCUGUAACUGACGCUGAUGUGCGAAAGCGUGGGGAUCAAACAGGAUUAGAUAC